RNAcentral lists this small RNA (658 nucleotides) under Rattus norvegicus (Norway rat). RNAcentral's name for it is "uncharacterized LOC102546534". The record is from RNAcentral. Lineage: Eukaryota; Metazoa; Chordata; Mammalia; Rodentia; Muridae.
UUUACACGGGGGUGCGAGGGCAGCAAAUGACUAAAACUUCUGGGUGGUGACACCUGCAGACAUGGCGGGUCAGCCAGGUCUGGAGAGGGGCUGGCCUGGCAGGUGACGGACAGCAGAGGUGGAGAAUGGAAUUGCUGGGUACUUCACAUGAACCGCACAGGAACCAUCUUCGGCGUGCACAGUGGAAAAAGAGCAGCUGGCUCUCUCAGGUCAUCGUUUCGUGUGUGUAACCACUGAGUAAUAAGUUACUCGCCGGACCCGGGAUCUUCCUUCACUACAGUGUUGCGGACAUCGAGGGCAAGCAUCAUAGGAACGUCCAUGGUGCCACCAUAAAGGCCAAGCAUUGUGUCACCGGGCAGCAGACAGGAAAGGACAAAAGCUUCAGGCUGUCUGACAUUAUGUCCCAUCAUACCUUGCUUCCCAGGGGACCUCAGACCCCACCGCUCCCAGUAACCCAGAGAAGAAACUGAGGUUGGAACAGGACAACGGAACCGGGAGGCAAACCCAGACCUACCGCGUACACUUGGUUCCCCCGCGUUUUGAACCUCCUAGCUUUCCCUGCACCAGCCUAACUGUCCUGGGUCUGCCCUGGCCCUCCAAGUACCCAGAGGCCCCUGCAUCUGAGAUACCUUGUAUGGACCAAAAACAAUAAAAAAAU